CCUACGGGUGGCAGCAGUGAGGAAUAUUGGUCAAUGGACGCAAGUCUGAACCAGCCAUGUCGCGUGCAGGAAGACGGCUCUAUGAGUUGUAAACUGCUUUUGUACGAGGGUAAACGCAGAUACGUGUACCUGUCUGAAAGUAUCGUAUGAAUAAGGAUCGGCUAACUCCGUGCCAGCAGCCGCGGUAAUACGGAGGAUCCGAGCGUUAUCCGGAUUUAUUGGGUUUAAAGGGUGCGUAGGCGGUUGGAUAAGUUAGUUGUGAAAUCCCGAGGGUCAACAUUGGAAUUGCCUUUGAUACUGGCCGUCGAGAGAAUAGUAGCGGUAGGCGGAAUGUGUGGUGUAGCGGUGAAAUGCUUAGAGAUCAUGCAGAACGCCGAUUGCGAAGGCAGCUUACCGAACUGCAUCUGACAUUGAUGCACGAAAGCGUGGGUAGCAAACAGGAUUAGAUACCCGAGUAGUC
RNAcentral lists this ribosomal RNA (460 nucleotides) under uncultured bacterium. RNAcentral's name for it is "partial 16S ribosomal RNA". It matches the Rfam family "Bacterial small subunit ribosomal RNA", at positions 338 to 795 of the family's 1533-position model. The record is from RNAcentral.